UGCUCGGCGCGCCUUACCUUGGAACGGCCUACCCUGUAGCGCCUUACCCUGGAACGGCUUACCCUGCAACGGCUGCCGGUGGACUACCAAACUCUUGUUAUUUUAUGGUUAUCUGAGCGUCUUAUUUUAAUAAGUCAAAACUUUCAACAACGGAUCUCUUGGUUCUGGCAUCGAUGAAGAACGCAGCGAAAUGCGAUAAGUAAUGUGAAUUGCAGAAUUCAGUGAAUCAUCGAAUCUUUGAACGCACAUUGCGCCCAUUAGUAUUCUAGUGGGCAUGCCUGUUCGAGCGUCAUUUCAACCCUUAAGCCUAGCUUAGUGUUGGGAGCCUACUGCUUUUGCUAGCUGUAGCUCCUGAAAUACAACGGCGGAUCUGCGAUAUCCUCUGAGCGUAGUAAUUUUUAUCUCGCUUUUGACUGGAGUUGCAGCGUCUUUAGCCGCUAAACCCCCCAAUUUUUAAUGGUUGACCUCGGAUCAGGUAGGAAUACCCGCUGAACU
This 495-nucleotide ribosomal RNA is filed under the name Pestalotiopsis sp. IK-2015. RNAcentral's name for it is "eukaryotic LSU rRNA". The stretch from base 139 to 292 matches the Rfam family "5.8S ribosomal RNA". Lineage: Eukaryota; Fungi; Ascomycota; Sordariomycetes; Amphisphaeriales; Sporocadaceae. The record is from RNAcentral.